RNAcentral lists this long non-coding RNA (246 nucleotides) under Carica papaya (papaya). RNAcentral's name for it is "long non-coding RNA (CPAP_LNC008026)". Lineage: Eukaryota; Viridiplantae; Streptophyta; Magnoliopsida; Brassicales; Caricaceae. The record is from RNAcentral.
UAUUUUGUGUAAUUUAAAAAAUUUCGAGAAUUAAUUACAAGUUAUUAGUAUAUUAUUGUUGUCCUAUAUAACCGAUUGUUUGAUUUUACAGCUUUAAAUGCAUGAUAAUAUACUAGAAUUUGUAAAAUGAGUCAAUUGUGUUUCCUUGAUGCACGUAUUGUUUGUCUUGCAUUGAUUUAUGAUUAAAUUGUGAAACUGAAAAUCAAAUGUAAACAGAAAAUUGAUUGGUUAAAUGAAUGAAUGAAU